Molecule: ribosomal RNA, 263 nt
Filed under: uncultured bacterium
Lineage: Bacteria
Description: partial 16S ribosomal RNA
Rfam family: Bacterial small subunit ribosomal RNA
Source: RNAcentral
GUCCACGCCGUAAACUAUGGAUAUUAGCUGUCGGGAGACUUACCCUCUCGGUGGCGCCGCAAACGCAUUAAAUAUCCCGCCUGGGAAGUACGGCCGCAAGGUUAAAACUCAAAGAAAUUGACGGGGGCCCGCACAAGCGGUGGAGUAUGUGGUUUAAUUCGACGCAACGCGAAAAACCUUACCUAGGCUUGACAUCCCGCGCUACCCUAUGAAAGUAGGGGUUCCCGUAAGGGACGCGGAGACAGGUGCUGCAUGGCUGUCGU